GAUCAGUCAAGGAAUGAGGUUCGCUCUGCUAGACGGUAAAACUUGAGGUGGAAUUUUCUUCAAAUUUGCUUAAUCAUUUUGUGUAGUGAUAUAAAAAAAAGUUUGUGUUAAAAUGUUCCGUUUCUGUUCGACGACCAAGAAAAUUUUACAGCUCGACGAUGAAGCCGAAACAAAAUGGCGAUCGAAAUGCUGUGUGGCAGCAGGCGAUGAUUACAUGCCGGUCGGAACGUAGGUUUGAUUUGUGAAACGUCGUGAUAAUCGAUGCAAAGUCGAAGUUCUAGUUUGUUUGAUGAAGUAAUGUGAAUAUAGGUAUAAAGGUGUGGCGUGACUCCAGUCACAAUCACCCAUAACUCCAGUUACACUCACGCCUUGGAAAAUUGGUUUCAGUCGGUGUGAUUUCGGAAAUCCGGCGAAGCAACUGCCGCGGACUACCGGUGCGGUCAAGCAUUUCAAGAUCGAUAUCAACGGUAAAAGUUGCAAAGCGGACAUUCGAAGUUUAUCGAUCGAUCGUCCUGACAGGCCUGUCUGGAUCGACUACAUGCUGGACGGAAGUAGUGCUGCAAACCUACCACGAACAGUUUGUGGUUGUGAAUUCAACUGCAAAUCUUUGAAAUUGUCAUUUAGUCUGGUUUCUGGCAAUAUAGGUAACCAGUAGAGCUAGAUGGUCUGGCCAGAGAUGCCAGGUAAAAAUUUCAAAUGUCUGCAGGCAGGGUCUGUAAAUCUGAAAAAAAAUCUGCAGUCAGCAAGUAUGGCUUGCUGGCAGCAAUUUCUCUAUAAAGUAUGAAAUGCAAAACUGACUUGGCGAGCAAAAAAAAAAAAAAAGGUCGCGGAAAUUUCAAAUUUUUCUGUAAAUAUAGAUGAAAGUCAGCGAGAAUUUCAAAAGUCUGUAAAAGUCUGCGAGAAUUUCAAAAGUCUGCAAAAGUCUGCACAACAAAAAAUGUCUGCAGCACUAUACCCCAAAUCUGCAGAUUUACAGACAAAUCUGCAGACCUGGCAUCUCUGGGUCUGGCUCAUUUUUUUUCUUCUUACUAAUGCUUCAACAUAUUCCGGUAAAGUAGUUUGUUUUCGGACAAUUCUGCUUCGGUUGUGGUGCGAGAACCCAAACUAUUUUGGCGCUUUCUUACAAGAUUCAGUAACUGCAUCGUGGUGCAGUAUCAACCUAGGCGUGCCUAAUUCGAUUCUUACUACGUCAACUUAAGACACCUUCAUUGGUGUUGUAGAAUGGCUGCAUGUCAUCGUGCUUCGUAGAAAUGUUUGCAUCUACCGAAAAUGUUCGUUGCGGACGGUUCCUGUUCUGUCUGUUUUUGGUCACACGCUUCGCGCUGGAUUGUGACCCGGAGCUUGUGGAAGCCAGGAGCAUCGCAUCAAACAAGUAAAUUAGUUUUAAGGCAUUACCAGCAGCAGCAGGCUUCAUAGGGUAUUACAAUAAUAAGUUAAAUAGUAGUUAUGUGCGGUUACAGAGAUAUUAACUUUACAUAAGGUCUGUCGUCUAAUGAUGAAUCAAAUUCGAAUUGCUUAUAAUCGAUAUCUACGACUAACCAGUGUCUGAUUUAGAUCAAGAAAUCUAACGAUCUAUGUAAUCCUGUCGGCAAAAUAUUUUUUACACAAAUUCCAAAGCAGCAUUAAGAGCAAACCAGUUCUCGGCGCAAUAGUUGUAACAGUGAACUUAUUCAAAUUCGUUCAAUUUCUGUCAAACCAGACCAGAUUGGCAGACAUUUUAGGUGGAAAACUAACAACUUGUGCUAAACCGACAUGACUAAUAUUUGUUGCAGUUCUGUGGCAUAAUUUAACACAGUAGAAACUAUCGUUUCUAUUGAAAUCUAACUCACGUCGUCAAUUUUAUUACUAGCUUUGACUUUUUUUCCACUACGUAAACCGAUCGAUCGAGAAACACGUUGCAAAUAAGGUAUAAUACCAUCAGCUUCAAUUUCUAUUAAAAUCGGAACGUGGCCACUCAGAUUCGUCACGUAAAAUAUUCAAUUCCAAGUGAGUUUGUUUUAAUGAUUUAAUAAAUUUUGUCAUUUGCAGAGAUUUCAACUGGCACUUCUUGCAUCUGUCUGGGAAGGCACUGAUGGUAGCCCUGCGCACAUCUGUGGCACACUUUUAUUUCUAAUGGAUAAAGAUAAAAAAUUUAAGGACACUUACCAAUGCUGCUGGCUUGUAGCAGUGAAGCUGGAACCACUAUUCCUCAACUUAAAAGCCUGUCGUAAACUGCACUCAUAUUCGUGAUCUUAGUGAUCAUCAACUUUUUUCCUAUACUCCCUACAACUCUACUAAGACUUUACUUUACUAGCCCUGUCUAACUAAAAACACUCGUAUCUCACCGGAGCCUCCAAUGUUCGAACUGAGGCGUGAUCCUUCGAUCCGGCAGGAAUAUCUUAGAGUGCUGCUCUUGCACGCCAAGCUCUACCUGUUGGCAGAUCAGCUCAGUUCUGUAUUUCUGUCGACAGUUCGAGACUGACAGAAGUGACCACUUCGAAUCAGCUAGAGUAAAAUCUUGACUCUUGCUACCAGCCUCUCCACUAAUGCCAGCUUGUGACAAGGGAUUCUAAGAGGGGGCGCGUCGGAGCCGAUUGUAGGCCGUAUAAAUCUGGUCUUCCGCGGUUUCUCGGCCAGAGACCAACUUGUGAAAAAUGGCUUGUAACUAAACUCAGCCUAUUUCAGUGAGCAAAGAGUGAGAAAGACGCUUCCAACCAAAUCCAUUCGACACUAAAAUCAGCAAGUCAUGAUUCUCUCAGCUGAGCUAAGUUGAUUUGAACGAUCGCUUUUUGAAAUUCUGGAUUUGAACUUGUUGAGAUGAAUGAAAUUUGCCGGGUAAUUUGGCAAAUUCUAAGUCGUGCUGGAACACAGACUUUUUUUUACUGUUUUUUGGCUAUCGGUGGUAAAAUGUCUAAAUCUAUGUAUUUUCAAUAAUAUUCUAUUUAUUAUUCUACUUCAGAUUCGUUCAAUUUCUGUCGAACCAGACCAGAUUGAUAGACAUUUUAGGUGGAAAACUAUCGAGUUGUGCUAAACCGACAUGACUAAGUUCUGUGGCAUAAUUUAACACAGUAGAAACUAUCGUUUCUAUUGAAAUCUAAGCAUAGGGGAAAAAUCACGUCGUCAAUUUUAUUACUAGCUUUGACAUAUUUUUUCCACUACGUAAACCGAUCGAUCGAGAAAGUGUCGAAAAUACUUCACCGUAAGCCGUACUGUGUUUUUUUUUACACUUUCCAAUUAAGCUAUAAUACCAUCAGCUUCAAUUUCUAUUAAAAUCUGAACGUCUCAACAACUCCCUCGUCGCCACUGUAAUGUUUCUGCUUGACGGAUUAAUACUCACAAUGCACACAUAUUCCUAUGCAUACUGUAUCAUACUCCGCUACUGAACUAGCCACUAACUCUUGGAGCAAAAAACUACUUAAUUCGUCUACCGGGUCAACUCCCGUGACUAGCGCCUAGUUACCGCACUCUGUAAAAACUGAACUGGCCCCUAACUUUUCCCAACUAGGGGUUUUUAAGCUCCUAACAUUUCACUAACUGUUCGGCCUAAACCCGAGACCAUCGUGACCGUUACCGCGGUUGUCCGUGAAGUUUCUUUGCUUACGCAGGGCACCUCAGUGUCGCGCAAACAAAAACAUCUCAGCAACCCCGAGCGCAUUCCAAGAGCGUGUAAAUAAAAACUGCUGCGCCAAUGCAAACCAGCAAUGCACCAUUGCAAUUUAUGUACGUUUAUUCACUAUAAGAUUUGUCACGUAUUGAUAUUAAGCUGCAUUAUACUUCGAUGACACAACCAGACACAAAUAUCGAAUGUUCCGUUGCGUUUGAUAAAAAUACUUUUUUACUCUCUUAACUCUCGGAUUGAACUGACUAGCCUGUCUUGUCUGAAUGUUCGUUAAACCUGACUACCUAGCCCUAAACUGUUGCAUCAGCAGUCAUCCUGUCCGAACAUAUCGAAGUCGUCGAUGCGGCGUGGUGGUUUCGGCUGAUGCAAUUACUAAUGGUUCUUGGCAAAUGCAUCCACGAUGGUCGGAUGUCUGCUGCAAUGUCAGCGGUUCGAUAAUUGGUAACAGGGUGGCUGACGUCUCCACGCGUACUUUGCUGACGUCUGUGCGUACGGGCCAUAUGUUAUUCGGGUUCGUCCAUAACAAGUGACAAUUGACUUUUCCUAACUAUUUACUGUUAUAUAAUGGGGCUUUCUUUCGAGCAGCUUCACUCGGAAGAGGUUGACUGUAGACUAACUUUAUUUUCGGAUUUCUUACUCGAGCUCUAGAAUUUCCUUUUAAGUCAUAUUUUACAAUUCUUCUUACCGUCAUUUAACGAAAUUUGUUGGUAUGUAUAGAUAACAUGAGGUAAUAGAAUGCGAAUCCGGUCAUGAUUUGAGAACAGAUCCGAUUGCGGUUUGGAAAAUUGGCAAAUUUCUAUGAACCUGAUGAAACAAAUUACCAAACCAACAAAAGUGAUUUCUAUUAGAAUUUUACUAUUCCUUGAAACCUCCCUCGUCGCCAGUUGUUAUGUCCGGCUUGUGAAAUAUUGUCAGGCUGACUAGUAAUAAUUCUAGUCAGUGACGAUAUCCUGCGCAAAUUCCUUUCUUAUUCGAGAAUUCCCCUUUGUGUUCCUGGCGAGAUGACUUCCUUCCUCCUGUGGUGCCUUGGUGGUGACGUCCCUUGGAAUUUCUUUCAAACUGACUGAAACACACUGGUGGUUGAGGCUGUUCUAAAACUCAUCUAAGACUAGUUUAUUUCAAUUUUCUUAAACUAUAUAUACAUACAUUUUGAAAUGAAAAUGUUGCGCGAUGAUAAACUGCCUGUCUGAUAUUGUUCUGUACAUAUGCCACAUUCCUUUUCCAGAGUAGUCAAACUGUAGCAUGAAAUCAGGAAUUACAGCAUCUGUGAUUUUAUCUCCAAAGUUGAAAGUGGUCUUGCCUUCCUUAUCUUUCAUAGGGCCCACAGUGUCUCUCCAAUUUCUCAUGGGUACAUGUUCAUCCAUUGAUGCUCUAAGCAUUAUCCAUGGAAAGCAUGCCUUUCUUGCUUGUUUUAUUGUUCCAAAAGCCGAAAUGUCGAGCAUAUGUGUUAUAAGUUGCUUGUGGGCAUUGCGUGACCCUUUUAAUUUCUUCACAAUAAGAUCUAUAUAGGGAAUUUGAGCAAAAGAGCCCACCGCUGUCACCACAAUGCGUUGUCCCGAGCGGCGAGAGGGGUAUUUCUUUCAAUGCACUAGACCGCACUUUAAAUUCUUUCUUUCCUUUUUAUUCUUCUAAUAACUUUUACACUUUAAUGCCCUAACUAUCCUACAGCACAUAAUUUUGUGCCUGACCUAACUCCUAUGUUAAUCAGUGAACAACUUAAACUUUUCUUUUCUUAACUACUGCUUUUGGCCCGAGUAAUGGUGUCCAAGUUUGAUUACGGUGUUACCCGGUCGCCCAAGGAGCAUUACUCUUACAGUAGAAUUAAGGCCUUGUUCAAACCAAAAACCGACCCUUUUAUACUCCAAUCUAUGUAACUAACAAAAAGCUAUAUUUAUAUAUAUGUCUGGUGGACUAACUACCACCUAUAACUACCUACGUGAAUUCACUGCGAUCGCGUCGCUUAUGUACAUAAUCAAUUAAUUCGAUCGGUGAUACAGUUUUUUCUGGCUGAUGCAAUAUGUUGAAAUAGCCAGCCGUGGGCAUUGCAAUAACUCUACUGGUCUACUGUCUGUACUAGCUAAGAUAUAGAUUUCUAUGAAAAAAUUAGGGCUGCUGCACUAUUCGUCAGCACGGGUAAACAAAUUCCUGGUGCCUCACUACUACAUAAAAUUUGAUCAGAUGGUUGCACUUGCAUUUCGUGCUAUCCCACGCUAUUCCCUAACGGCUGCAAUUGCCCUCCUAGAAGGUUCAAGUUCAAGUUCAAAUCUUGCUUAGCCGUCCUAUCUAAACAUAUGCGGCACCUUAUCUGUAUGCUUGAAGAGCAUGUUAAUCAUUUCACCAGAUGUUUCCAUGACGGUUGCUAGAUCGUCGAUUUAUUAGAGAUGCAUUUAUGACUUUAUUACCACAACCCUCCGAGAGCAAGUUCUAACCGAUAUUUGUUAUCGUUCCCUUUUGGCGUUUGUUUAGGUUUUGUUCCUUCGCAUUUCGUAAUGGUCCUUGCUAGUUAAUUUACAUUGCCAUCAGCACCAGCUUAUCUGGUGUCUCGACCCGAACUUAGGCUUCCGCCGCUACAUGAAUCAGUGCAAUAUUAAUGCAUACGGGAUGCGAGAUUUGAUGGGUAAAUAACAGCUUUCAUGACUGCGCUGGGAACGAACAAUCGGGACAAAUCACUUCUCAUGAUAAGUGCUCCUUUAAGCACGUUUUUUAUAUUUUCCUUUUUUUUUUGGUUGAUAAAUAAAGUCUAUUAAUGCCAGCAUUUAAUGAAUGCGAUUGUAGCAAGCACUAUGCUCGACAAAUAUACUAUAAAUUCUAGAAGCUUUUGUAAAAUUUCGGCCUGAUCGAUGCUUCUUGUUUCGGACUACGUUUUGGUUGUUUCUGCUUCGAAGACUCAAACGUUCUUUAGCACGAAGAAUAUUUGACUUCGAAGUGCCCACUUUUUUUUGCCACAUCCCGAACUGAAACCUCCUUCUUUUGCUCGAACGCCUUCAGUAUACGUUUAUCCAACUGAGGGUUAGCAGGACCUAUAUACUUAUCUUCCGGGGCAGAUGGUCCUCUCGGGUUGUGGCAAAGCUGAUGAGCGGAGCUGACGGUCGUCCUACCGGGCUGUGAUGCACAAGAAAAAGGCUCUCGCGGUUUCGAAUAUAGACUCGGUUUAUUUACAAAAACUAUAGCUAUUUAUACAUAUUUCUCCUUCCAAUACUAUAGCAACAUUAUAGUUGCGUUCUCUUUCUAGCUAUCUUCCUAGCCGUCAAACAAAUGGAUAAACUGCUUAUCGGUUUUCCACAUUCUUCUUGUACCCUAACCGGUGUAGUCGUCCACGGUAUGAGUAAUCCGGUUGGGCCCUAAAACUUUGUUUACAUUACUUUCCCGCCUACUUCGCAGUUCGGGAUUUUGUGUUAUACCUGCUGUCAGCUGAAUUGAUUUCUCGGCACAGACACUUGUUCAAGAUUUCGGUAGACUUUUCCAUAUCAAAGUUCUGAGCGGACCUGAGAGUCAGUGUUUUGACGAGGAGCUCCUAAUCUCACUUUUCUCCUCUUAGAAUACCAACAGUACGAAGAGGUUUUUCUGAACCAAUCGUUCUCAACGGAUUGAUAUGAGGCUGGCUCGUUCGGAUACUUUGACGAAGGUUUACGGAUAGUUUCGAAUUAUAACACUUCAGUGCGACUUUUGCCAAACCUCAAAUUGAAACAACCCUCUUCCGCUGGCUGUAAAAUUAGGACUGAUUUAUUACUUCUGAAUUAUUGCUACAGUUCGUAUUAGACAAGUUCUUUCAGACAAUGAUAUUAGAAUCCACAACAUCAAAUUCGACUGACUUCAAACCCGGCAGUUUCGUUGUUUUCUGGACAAUACUUUUCCUUUCCACUGUCAUCUUUCACAGCUUUUAAAAUCGUUUCAAGUUAAUUUCUGUUAAAACUCUUAGAUCAGACUUUUUUCUACUGUUUUUGGCUAUCGGUGGUAAAAUGUCUAAAUCUAUGUAUUUUAAAGUUUUUCGCUGAAAUGAUUUAAUUUAAUUUGCCAAUUGACCUGAUUAAACAAAACGAACAGACGAAAUCAACAACAGUAAUUUCUAUUAGACUUUUAGGAUUCAUUGAAACCUCCCUCGUCGCCAGUUGUUAUGUCCUGCUUGAUAAAUAUGCGGAUUGUACCUAAAUGGGAAAGAGAGAAAUUUGUUUGAUUAAUAUCGAUACUUCUCUGGAGGUUCCGGUGAGAUGGCUUCCUUCUUGGUUGUUUCUUUAAAAAUAAAUAAAUAAAUCACUGCAGAUGACUAAAAACGACUCUCUUUAUCGACAGUGACGGUAUCAUAAAAAAAACACGUCUUGCUCGAUUUCUGAUAAGUCUGCGUUUAUUUUUCAUAAUUCUUACACAUUUCACAUAACUGCAUAACUACACAUUUUCGGUUGAUGAAUAUUAAUACCGGCUGUAAAGAAUGCAAUUGUAGCGGAAUGGAAUUUUCUUAUGUUUUCAUCAUACAUUUUUUCCAUCACUACAGAAUAUAUGUGGAUGCUUUGAACAACCCGCAUUCGGAUGCAAUCAUGUUGUGAUACACCGAAAGUGUUGCGCGACAAAGCAGAUGUUACGCUCGAACCUUUUCUGACGUGUGGAAAGUAGAAUCAAAUCCAAACAACACCAACAUCUUUAAUUUUCAUUAACGUCUCUUCGAUUGGGAAAACCUCCCUCGUCGCCAGUUGUAAUGUCUUGCUUAGUCUAUUUUCUACGCUGCCGAUCGAAAGUCCCAUCUAUUGUGGGGACCUGGAUUUUCUCGUCACAAUCAUUGUUGUCGUCAUAUCACCAACUUUGAUUUCUAUUAAAUUAUAAGUGCUAGGAGAAAAAAUCCCUCGUCGCCACUUUUAUGUAUUCACUUUGUUGUUUCUCGAUGAAACUUCUCCGCCGGUCAGCCAACGUUGCGGGUUGAACACUAGUUUGUUAGUUUGAAUUUAGAACAAAAGUUCCACGUGUUGGGUUUUUGUUAUAAUAGUAAACUUUCACUUCACUAGUUAGAGUUUCUUCAUGAAUGUAUUUUAAAAAAAAACAUUACACUUUAAUUUACAUGUAAUUCUUACGACCGAACUGUUUCACUUCUCGAAUCGAAUUGACUAUCUUGUCCUGCCUGAAUGUUCGUUAGACCUGACUACCUAGCCCUAAACUAUUGUAUCAGCGGUUAUCCUGUCCGAACAUGUCGAAUCGUCGAUGCGGCGUGGUGGUUUCGGCUGAUGCAAUUACUAAUGGCUCUUGGCUGAUGCAACCACGGUGGCCGGAUGUCUGCUGCGAUGUCAGCGGUUCAAUAAUUGGUAACAGGGUGGUUGACAUCUCCACGCGUUGGAUACACUGGCGUCUUACUGCUGGCGCGUACUUUGCUGAGGUCUGUGCCUACGGGCCAUAUGCUAUUCGGGUUCGUCCAUAACUUAAUAUCGAUACUUCUCUAGAGGUUCCGGUGAGAUGGCUUCCUUCUUGGUUGUUUCUUAAAAAAUAAAUAAAUAAAUCACUGCAGAUGACUAAAAACGACUCUCUUUAUCGACAGUGACGGCAUCAUAAAAAAACACGUCGAUUUCUGAUAAGUCUGCGUUUAUUUUUCAUAAUUCUUACACAUUUCACAUAACUGCAUAACUACACAUUUUCGGUUGAUGAAUAUUAAUACCGGCUCUUCAAAAUGCAAUUGUAACGGAAUGGAAUUUUCUUACGUUUUUACAUACAUGUUUCCAUCACUACAGAGUAAAUGCGGAUGCUUUGAACAACCCCAUCGCAUUCGGAUGCAAUCAUGUUGUGAUACACAGAAAGUGUUGCGCGACUAAGUAGAUAUUACGCUCGAAACUUUUCUGACGUGUUGAAAGUGGAGUCAACUCCAAACGAUACCAACAGCUUUAAUUAUUAUUAACGUCUGAUCAAUUAGAAAAACCUCCCUCGUCGCCAGUUGUAAUGUCUUGCUUAGUCUAUUUUCUACGUUGCCGAUCGAAAGUCCCAUCUAUUGUGGGGACCUGGAUUUUCUCGUCACAAUCAUUGUCGUGUUUCGACUAGUUCGAACGAGCUCGUCAUAUCACCAACUUUGAUUUCUAUUAAAAUAUAAGUGCUAGGAGAAAAAAUCCCUCGUCGCCACUUUUUUAUAUUCACUUCGUUGCGUGACGUUGCAGUCUUUUGAUGACCACCUCCAUGACGUUUUGCGAUGCUACCAGUAUUUUUGUAACGAGUUAUGGUGCGAUAAACCAAAACUUUAUUCACUUUAAGGUGUUUGAGCUCACGAACAAUCGCUGGUUGUGAUUUUCCAUCUAAAUAUAAAGCAAUCACACUAUUACGUUUUAAAUCCAUCACUUUUGGCAAAAUGCUUUCUUGCGCUUGUAAACAAUACAACUCCGAAUUGUCAUUUAGCAAAUUUCUAGAGAGCUGAUGCCCGUGUGUCAGCUGCGCGAGCGGUCUGAAGUUGGUUACAAUUCGAGUGCCGAACCCUGUACAGCGACACGUUGGAGGGCCAAACCAUUAACCAAAAUGUUGUACGUUCACUUUUACAAAUCUAAUUCAGUGAGUGUUCGCUAAUUUUGAUUGGGUCUUGAAAAUCAUUCAGUAACAAGUAUAUUGUUACUAUCGUUAUACUAUGUUCACACUACGAGUUUUAACUAUGAUUUCAUGUUUUAAACGAAAUAACAUGUUUUACUUUUGUUUUCUCUAAAUAACAUGAUAUAAUUGUCAGUAAAGCACAACCCUGCUAGCAUUUUCCGUCACUUUUCGAUUGUGUCAAUUGACAAGCUGUUCAACAGCAGCAGUUUUCCAUCAAAGCAGCCAUGUAAUCAUAAUAAAACAAAACUGAAAAUUGGUACAACCGUUUUUGUUUUUUUUGUAUUAUGACGUUUGGUCAUUUGUUGCUCACUUCUUGAAGUCGGAGAUGCAAUCUUUAUUUUUUUCUCUGUAGAUUUUCCUCCGAAUGAUUACAAACUAUACUAUGAAAUUUCCGGAACACAACAAGUAAAGAUCAACCGCAACUCUGUCUUGAAGAGUACAUAAUUUCUGCGUGGUAGACAUUUUUGCAUGUAAUGUCUUCCUUACUCUACUUCAUACGGAUCCCUCAGAAUGAAGUGUGGUCUAAAUGUUGCCGAUCGAAGGUCAUCCCACGGUUUGGAGUUUCUUCUCACGGUUAUUGUUGUGUUUCGGCAAGUUUUAUCGAACCUGCAAGUGGUACCUCUAACUUUGAUUUCUAUUAAAAUUCAAGCGCUACGGCAAGAACUCUCUCGUCGCCACUUUUAUGUCUUGCUUUGAUUGAUAGUUAACUGUUAGUCGUGUUCUAUUAUUUUAUUCUACUAAAUGUUUUUACUAUGUUAAGUAAACCAGUACUAUUAAGUUAUUAAGUCCAAUGGAGAAGGCGUCUACUUGGUUUCACUUGUCUUGUAGGGUUUAUUUUCGAAGAGAUAAAAAUAAAGGGAACCAUCCCUUUUGAUUGUUCAGUUAAGAUUGAUUUUAAUUUCUAUUAAAGAAUAUAUAUAUUCAUCAGCAACUUCUCUAAUAGUGAUUCGGCGAUCAUCCAUAAUCAUUUUUUCCACUUUUCCCACAUUUUCAUCGAUUAUUGACGUGCUGGGUCGACCGGAGCGUUCGUCGUCUUCAACGUCUUCGCGGCCAUCUUGGAAACGCUUAUACCACUCGUAAACACUUGUUUUUUUUCAUAGCAGACUCACCGUAGGCUCUCUGUAACAUUUCGCACACUUGGUUACACUUUAUUUCAUUUUUCACGCAAAAUUUAAUACAAAUUCUUUGACUCUUCAAUUCCAUUCUUCCAUUGUUUAAACUAACAAAAAUCGCCGAGCUCAAAAAAACACGUCUACACCAGCCGCUACAAGACAGAAUGUAAACAAUGAAUACAGCUGAAAAUUUCACCAUACAUUAGGGACAUAUGUACCAACACAAUAAAAAAAAAUUUUGACCACCGGACUCUCCAGACGCGCGCAAUCAAAAAAUUCCGGGAACUUUUUGAACAGACCUCGUAAAUGUUAGGAGCAAAACUUCCUCGUCGCCACUUUUAUGUAUCAUCUUUGAAAAUUUCCAAACUACUUUCGGAAGUUUUUUUUUAAUAAAACAAUCUCACUAACCGUCCGGCGGGAGUACUGAAUUAAAACUUGGACUACACGGAUUUGGAAUCCAACCACUAGAAUUUCUAUUGCAUAAUUUAAUGGAGAAUAUCUCCUGGGUCCAUAACCUGUUGGAAGGACAUUACUGGGUCCAUAACCUGUUGGAAGGACAUUACUGGGUCCAUAACCUGUUGGAAGGACAUGUUACUGGGUCCAUAACCUGUUGGAAGUACGGUUUAGUCUUUGAAGGGAGAAUGUGAGAAGAAGAGAAAGUGAUAAUAAAUCAUUCUAUAAUAAGUCAUGUGGCAUGAAUCCAGGUCGAGGUCGGUAUCGACAAGAAACGAGCUGGUAACAGGAAGGGAACGAACUGUUUGCAUGUGGAAUGAUUUGUCAUCACAACUGUCGUAUGACUUAAUAUGUUUGUUUGCGUCAAGCGCAUGAUAAUACUUUUAAUGUUUAAUAACUGUCUAAUCUGUUCAAGCUAUUCAACAUAAUGAUUUUUUAUUUGCCGGAAAAAUCUAGAUUAUGAGAUGCUUGGUAUGAUACUGGGGUAGAUCCUAAUGCACAGCCAUCAUACAUGAUCUCGUCUCUAGGUGGUGUCUCUACUGUAGAUGGAACUACAGUAGUGGUGGUUUUCUUCAUUGCGGGGGGUUUUGGUUGUGGGGGUUGUCGAGCUUGCCGAAGCUUCUCAUUAGACUCCAUCUCCACUUCGGAUUGCCUCGCCCAAUUUCUUUCGUCAUCAGCUCGUUUCUGUCGGAAAUCUGCCAUCCUAUGCACAUCACGUAAACGCGGUGGUCUCGUUUGCCUACCGGGUAGUCCACGGUUGCGGGCUUGCGAGUCACUUUGUUGAUUGUUCGCCAUAACAGCUUUUGCAAAUUGACAUAUUUUCGUUUUAAUAACUUUAGUCGAUAAAACGACAAACGGGUUCGAUUCCUGAUGUGAUCAAGGAUCUUCCCGGGUUGGAAAUAUUCUUGAUUAACCCUGGAUAGUAAAUCCGAAAUAUUUAAAUGUUAUGUUGUGGUCAGUCGUUCUUUUGAAGAAAAAUCUAUACCUGCUAGAUUAAUCAGAUCGUUUUCUUUUGUUUACUGGUUAACAUAUGUGCAAAAAUAUUAAUUAUCAUUUAGAUAACUCGUUCUGCUCACACCUUUGUAGGGGUAUGAGGUGGGACCAUCAUCAUCACCGUGAUUAACUCCUAUUCGGAGCCUUUUUUUCAGUGAUGUUGAAACGAUGGAUAACUGAAGAAACGUCGAGUGACACUUUUGCUUUCUCUCACUGCACUUUGAACAUGAAGUCCUAAGUUUAAGAUGUACCCACCUAAUUACAAAAUCGUUUAAGGGUAUCGACCUCUGGAGGACGUUGACCUCUUAUCAAAAUUAGGAAUUUCGGCAGUUUACUAAACUAAUUUGCUGAAUUGUCUAAAAUCGAAUGCGGAAAACUUUGCAGUCAUUUAUUUGUUCUAUCUCGAUGAUAAGCAGAUUGUUACUUGCGUUAUACAUGUUAUCAAUGUGUAAUACUUACUUAUCUUAUCUUGUCCUAUCUUAUCUUAUCAUUUAAUUAAACAAAAAAAUAUAUACAUUUGAUUUCAAUUUGGAAGUAGUUCGAAAUCAGUUUGAAAAUAAUUCGAAAUCUGAGAUUAGUCCCGGAUUUAAAUGAUACAACAGCUGGCAUACCGCCGUAUCUCGUCAAUGAACGAUCGCCUCCGACUCGGAUGCACCUCUGAAAGGCAGCAUAAGCAAUACUCGGGAAUACGUCUAAGAAUUCUAAAAAAAAUCAAGAAUAACUACGCUUUUUUAUAAUUAAAAAAAAAUUUAUUAAAAUUAUUUUUAAAAAAUGAUUAGUAGAAAUGAGAGUGAGAGUGCUUAGCUAAACUUGGUUUGGUUUAAUAUUUGUCUGGAAAAUUUGCGAAACAAGUAACCACCAGCAACCAAGGGUGGCAAAAACUCGCUCAUAAGAUUCGAUUUUUUCUAUUAAUCAGCUCACCUCAUGAUUUACGAUGCAAUCCGUAAAAUGAUGGUAAAGAUGAAACUCAUCGCUGAUCUAAGCAAACACACUCACCUAUACAGAGCACCGCUGACAUCAAAUUAUGAUGGUAUUGAUGGUUCUCAGUUUUGAUUUCAUAGCAUUUAACUCUCAUUCCUAGUUUUAAAAAGUGAGUACUGAGUUUGGCAUCACCGUACCGAGCUACACCGGUGAGUGUAUGCCUAAACCACAGAGCUGCCAACACGACCCAGCUUUGCGGUUUUGUUUUUGCUGGUACUCAAAGCGAGCACGUACGAAAACAAAAGUCGAAUCGUAGCGUGAUGUUCCGUAGCGAUUGAAUUUCAUGUCUCGAGCUAAACACAACUGGCUACUAAAAUCGAAUGCGUUUUCCAGCAUACGAAAACAUGUCUUGAGAAUUGGAUUGAAAUGGCAUCGAUUCGAACGUUGGCCGCCCAUGACAACUCUGUUGGAUGGGGAAUACAAGCGAGACAGUGUCACAAGAAUCUGAUUCAAUGUGUUGAUGUACAAACACAUCAAAUCACAACUCACAAAUCGUCGCUCAGUGGGUUCUAAUAUUUGAUGUGCACUCAGCGCUCAUCUGCUGAUUGCUUGACACUACGAUGUUGAGACGAUGUUUUCUCUACACAAAUGGUUACCCAGUUACUCAACUCGCUCAGCGAUGCUUCUGAAACCGAUUUGCAGGUGAGCUGAACUCGGUGAUGAUGAAGUACGGAGUUGAUUAUUGCCAGCCCUGCCAGCAACAAUAAUUUCUAUUGGUAUACUAGCAUUCCGAGAACGUUCCCUCGUCGCCAGUUGUUGUGUCUGACUUCCGUUCACUGAACUAGAUUGAACAUUUCCAUUUUUCUGAUGUUUGGUUCUGUAAUGAAACUUUUUUCUCGACUGAUGAAAGUUUUGAUUUUGAUCUGAUAAAAUAAAUAAAAUUUCAAUAAUGUAGAAUGAUUAUAAGGCACUUUCGCAACGCAAGCGUAGUGUUGUUUUAUCGGCAAGUUUAAUUUCUAUUAAAAUUUGAAUUAAUAUAAGCGGAAAACUCCCUCGUCGCCACUUUUUUGUAUCACUUUGACUAUCACUAUCACUUUUCGAGUCUUAUUCCGCACUACACUUUAUACGCUAACCUGCGUACUCACUUGGAACGAAUGUUCGAUUUUUAGUGCGCCUGACUUAGGCCGCACUACACUUUAUACGCUAACUUGCGUAUUCACUCAGAACGAAUGUUCGAUUUUUACUCCACUAGGCUGAUUCACUUUUCAGGUCUUAGAAGACCUGGGUAGCACUUUUACUUAGGUAACUCUUUUUGACUUUUCCUCUCUGGAUUAAGCCACCAAACAAUGUGGGGCUCGUUCUUUCUUUACGAUUUAAGAGUUUUACUUUUGUACUGCUACUACUGUUUAUUAUUAACAAAUUUUGCUUAUAUACUACGAGUUAGAACAGACUUACGUUUAAUGUUAGUUCUUAAUUUAUUACGCGCUUGCGCAUAAGCCUGAAUUUCGUGUUUCUUACCUUCCUAGGCUUGUGCGCAUGCGUGGUUAUGCUAUAAGGAAGAGAGAGAACACAGGCAUUCAACGACCCCUUAUUCCUUCUUUUCCUUACGUUGCCCAGCUUGCGAUCCCAACUAUGACAAGUUAAAUCCAGCUGUUUCUCCUCCCUUCAAGGAGGUCAUUCACUUGUCUCGAGGCAUGUGUUUUAUGCUAUUCCUUCCUUCUUCGAGGAGGUCAUAGCCCUGCCCGAGAUAAGUGCUUACAUUAUUUUAUUUUAGCCCUUUAAACGACGACAUCGGUCGUUGCUCUUAUUUCUAACGGAUUUUAUGAUUCGAUGUCGUAACCCGGGAGCUCGACGAUGCGGGAGAUUUCAUUUCUCGCUAGCUUAAAUUUAGAAUCCUAGUAUGGGACUUAAAUCUAGGCACGCUGGUGAAUCUGUCAGCCACAAUCGCCUCCGACUCGGAUGCACUUCUGAAAGGCAGCAUAAGCAAGACUCGGAAAUUUCUUUGCUGGCCCCCAUUCUCGUCUAAGAAUUCUAAAAAAAAUCAAGAAUAAUUACGCUUUUUUAAAAUUAAAAAAAAAUAAUUUAUUAAAAUUAUUUUAAAAAAAUGAUUAGUAGAAAUGAGAGUAAGAGUGCUUAGCUAAACUUGGUUUGGUUUAAUGUUUGUCUGGAAAAUUUGCGAAACAAGUAAUCACCAGCAAUAAUAAUUUCUAUUGGUAUACUAGCAUUCCGAAAACAUUCCCUCGUCGCCAGUUGUUGUGUCUGACUUCCGUUCACUGAACUAGAUUGAACAUUUCCAUUUUUCUGAUGUUUGGUUCUGUAAUGAAACUUUUUUCUCGACUGAUGAAAGUUUUGAUUUUGAUCUGAUAAAAUAAAUAAAAUUUCAAUAAUGUAGAAUGAUUAUAAGGCACUUUCGCAACGCAAGCGUAGUGUUGUUUUAUCGGCAAGUUUAAUUUCUAUUAAAAUUUGAAUUAAUAUAAGCGGAAAACUCCCUCGUCGCCACUUUUUUGUAUCACUUUGACUAUCACUAUCACUUUUCGCGUCUUAUUCCGUUAGCGGUUUAUAUUGUGGUGUACUUCUCUACUUUUACUAUUUACUAUUUAUUACUUCUUCUCAUUGAGUUCUGAUUUUUCUUCUUCUUCUUCUACAUAAUUUACCCAGGUUAGCGGAUCGUCUCCUGGUAGAUCUUUUAUUCUUUUAAUUAGAUCAUUCCACUUAGGGCAUGAAUUUUUCUCAAGGGUGGCAAUCAUUGAGAACAUUCACCUGCGCAUCUUCUCUUUGAUGCGCUUGUUUAGAUUAGUUUACUACUUCCCAUUAUGGGCACGUUUAUCAAUCAAUAGCGGUUCAUAUUAUACACUCAAUGUAUAGGGUGUUGCACAUUGCAGUAGCACUAGCUUAUUAUUUUUUUUGUUGGCUUUAUGGUAAUGUUCCUUAAAUUUCACUGUAUUUUCUGUAUACAGUUUUUCACACAUGGAUGGUAUUCUUUGCCAUCUCGUUCGACGCUAUAAUUUCAUUUUAGCAAGCUACUACUUUCUUCGCAAUCACUAAAGUAUGUUCACUAACUGAUUUUCGUUGCUGGCCCGUAACACUUGUCAACGGUUCGCCAUGUGGUGUACUUCUCUAUUUGUUUAAAUAAAAGUAGUGUUCGUAUGGCUCGUCCAAGCUGGACUGACUUUAUUUCAAAUCCUAAAGUAACCUUACUUAAUGAUUCCCUAUGUGACGUAUUUGGAGUAAGCAGAGAGUAUGCGAGAGAGAGAGAGAGAGAGAGAGAGAGAGAGAGAGAGGAGAAGGUCUAUAGAAUAUUCUCACAGCUGUCAUAAAUUUGGGACCGUUGGCCUGCCGCUUUAUGCAGUCCUAGCAAUUAUAUAAUUUAUUGUUUGUGCUUGCGCGGAGGUCUUUGGCCAGAGUAAUUGUACUGACAAUGCCGAUGGCACGAUGGCAUUGCAAUAUGUUGGUAAAAUGCGAGAGGCGCAUUUUGUUAGGGUUAUUGGACGUGAAUUCCGAACACGUGAAACGGUUGUAAGCCUUGGUGAAGAAUAUUAACAUUUGGAAUUUCGGAAAGGAUCUAGGCUAUUAUAUUACAAUAUUACACUUAUUCGUUUCGUUACUUCAUUUACAUGUACAUGUACAGAUCUCUUGACCGAUUGAGGAUUGACGUAGGACUAUUGAGGUCGGAACUGACUUGUUCUAGGAUGUUUGAGGAUUAUGCGGGUGUUUUCUUUUCCACAAUUAGAAAAUAGUAGAUUUUUUUCUUCUGUUCUUCUUUAAAUUUUCUUUUAUUUCUGCAAAACUGUUUUUAGACUUUUCUAUCAGCCACAAUUACAGGAUUAUUUCUUAUACAGAUAUUGUACACUUAUUGGUAUUACUUGAAAACGAUUACUAACACAUUGACCACUGACUGACGGACUACUAUCCGUACACUAUCCGAUAUCUGACUGACUGACUUCUAACUCUUCCCAACUAUGGGUUUUUAAGCUACUAACAUUUACUUUCGGGUGAAGCCCGAAGAUUUUAGUACAAGCAGAGCUCCCGAAGUUCUACCAAAAUUACCGAGAGCCGCGAACCGAAACCACUGUCACUAUGUCAAUGACAGUGUCCGGUGCCCGUGAAAAGAUAUUUUAUUUUUUUUGUGUUGCAGUUCGUCGCCGUUACACUGACGUGAAGGCUUGCCUAAAAGGUGACGAGUUUUUCUAUCACGGCUGGGUUGCUAUUCUUACAAUGCUGCAAGUUCAAUGAGAUUCAAUGAAAGACUUUUGUGAGGGCGCUGCAGUUAACUUGCGAACGUGGGAUUGGACUGCGCCAUAUUAAUCUCAAUUAGUCGUUGUGAACCAAAAUAGGGCCGCGGACAAAGUUUCAUCUUUAUGUCUAUUCCAGUCUGGUUCGCCGGCCAUCGGUAUCAAUUUUUUCGUACUCCCGUCAUCCAGUCGCGACUCUGACAUAACCCUCCCGUCUUUUUUUUUGUAUUGGUUGCUAAAGGAUGGGAAUCGACCACUUUAAUUUUCUAUUAAAUCAUUUAAAUGUCGAAGAAAAGCUCUCUCGUCGCCACUGUAUUGUCCAGGCUUGUGUACCGAUUGUUAUAUUUUUGAUUGUUUGUACGAAUAGUUAUUUUACUUUAACCUUUUUUUUCCUUGCGCUUAACUAGCGCCACAAUAGUUCGAAGAACUUCAGCGUGCCUUACUAGGUUGUGGAAAGUCUUAUCGUCAAUGAUUUCUUGUUCCUUUAUAAAUAAAUUUUCAAGGUCUAUUUUUAAUUCUUGACAUUGAUUUAAUUUUUCUUCAAGUAAUUUUUCUGAUAGU
Malaya genurostris is the source of this 18416-nucleotide long non-coding RNA. RefSeq lists it as uncharacterized. The transcript has 4 exons. The record is from RefSeq and is a predicted model, not a curated record. NCBI's taxonomy places the organism in Eukaryota, Metazoa, Arthropoda, Insecta, Diptera, Culicidae.